RNAcentral lists this ribosomal RNA (494 nucleotides) under uncultured bacterium. Its description in RNAcentral is "partial 16S ribosomal RNA". It matches the Rfam family "Bacterial small subunit ribosomal RNA", at positions 28 to 507 of the family's 1533-position model. The record is from RNAcentral.
GACGAACGCUGGCGGCGUGCUUAACACAUGCAAGUCGAACGGAAAGGCCUGCUUUCCCUUGUGGAUUGCGGGUACUCGAGUGGCGAACGGGUGAGUAACACGUGAGUGAUCUGCCCCCAACUUGGGUAUAAGCCUGGGAAACUGGGUCUAAUUCCCGAUAGGACUGCAGGGUGGUGCCUGUGGUGGAAAACGAUUUUCUAGUGGUUGGGGAUGAGCUCGCGGCCUAUCAGCUUGUUGGUGGGGUAAUGGCCUACCAAGGCGGCGACGGGUAGCCGGCCUGGGAGGGUGGACGGGCACAUUGGGACUGGGAUACGGCCCAGACGCCUACGGGAGGCAGCAGUGGGGAAAAUUGGACAAUGGGCGGAAGCCUGAUGCAGCGACGCCGCGUGGGGGAUGACGGGCUUCGGGUUGUAAACUCCUUUCGACCGCGAGGAAGCCACCUGGUUGGAAGGGUGGUGACGGUAGUGGUAGAAGAAGCACCGGCUAACUACGUG